AACGCAACUGGCACUCUUUGGCUUGCUAAAGAGUAUACCUGUUUGAGAAUCAUAAACAUCAACUUGACUUGAGAUCGAGUCAGAAUUGAGAUUUCAUUUGCGACUUACGCAGAUGAAUCUUGAAUUGUAUAAGAAUUCAGGUUUCGGUGUGACCGAAUAUGCUGAACAUUGUGGGAUACGAAACUGUAGAAAGCUUUUCUACGGAUCGAAUUUCAUCAUCACAAUGAGUUCAGCAUGAAUGGUGCGACCGGAGCAAUUUAAACUGAAUACUUCAAUGAUAUUUAUCACUUGAAAUAUUUAUAUUUCAAUAUUUGAUCUCAAAUCAGGCAAGACUACCCGCUGAACUUAA
Molecule: unclassified non-coding RNA, 349 nt
Filed under: uncultured fungus
Lineage: Eukaryota; Fungi
Description: sequence contains ITS2
Source: RNAcentral